Homo sapiens (human) is the source of this 3562-nucleotide long non-coding RNA. Lineage: Eukaryota; Metazoa; Chordata; Mammalia; Primates; Hominidae. The record is from Ensembl.
ACGCGCGGGGGCGCCCUGACAGUCCCCUGCUGCUCCUCUGCUGGGCGCCACAACUUUCCCCAACCCGUGCCAACUUCCAGGGCACAGCCUCUGCGGAGAGUAGCAGGGUACAGUGAAUAACCCAGACACUAAAAAGCAAGGCAGCGGGGGUCCUACCAGCGCGGCUUUUGAUGACGUCGGUGAAUCCGUCCUCAGCGGCAUUUUCUGGGGUCUCCUGCAGACCCCUCAGCUGUGCCAUAACCAAACGCCACGUGCCUCAGCUUCCUCACGCCCCAAACUUUGGAAGGCAGGUCACAUGGAAUCUACACAUGGAAGGACAUAGGCAUUGCAUGCAGGUAUCCGGAAUCAUUGAUAUUGGUCUUAAAAUUUGGAAGUUUCCACUUUUGCUAAGCCAUGUGAGGACACAACAAGAAGGCAUCACCAAUGAAGAAUAGGCCUUCAUCAGACAUCCAAUCUGCAGGCCUCUUGAUCUUGGACUUCCUAAUCUACAGAAUUGUGUGUUCCUGGUGAUAUGUGGUCAUAAACCCUUCAGACAGCAAUGUGUUGAAAAAGAAGAAGAAAGAAAGCUUUCUUAAAAAUUUUCUCACUGAUAUUCCAUUUCUUAAGAGUUGAUUUUGUGCAUGAGUAAUUAGCACAAAAUGCUCGUAGACAAUAAAUAUCUAUGUGGAUAAUAUCACUAAGCAUAUGCAAUCAAGGCACAGUCUUUUGAAGAACAUCAUUUUGAGAAGACAGUGCCUAAAGAUGACGAUUUAAUAUGUACAGUUGCAGAGCACUUCUCCUUGCUGCUACCAUGUGAAGAAGAAUGUGUUUUCUUCCCCUUCUGCCAUGAUUUGGCACUCCUCCAUCUCUCUGGGAGAUCCAACACUUGAGGGCUUAUGAGCCGUUUCAGUAUGAAUGAAAGGGAGAAGAACAGAACAGAGGCUAUAAAGCAUGGCUUCAGCAUCUGCUUCUGCUGAGAGCCUCAGAAAGCUUCCGGCUAUGGCAGAAAGUGAAGAAUUACAAAUCUAGUUUAGCCCAGGACCAGAUGGAUUCACAGCCGAAUUCUACCACAAAUUCAAAGAAGAGCUGGUACCAUUCCUUCUGAAAAUAUUCCAAACAAUUGAAAAGGGGGGACUCCUCCCUAACUCAUUUUAUGAAGCCAGCAUCAUCCUGAUACCAAAACCGGGAAGAGACACAACAAAUAAGAAAACUUCAGGCCAAUAUCCUUGAUGAACAUUGAUGAGAAAAUCCUCAAUAAAAAACUGGCAAACCGAAUCCAGCAGCCCAUCAAAAAACUUAUCCACCACAAUCAAGUUGGCUUCAUCCCUGGGAUGCAAGGCUGGUUAAACAUAUGCAAAUCAAUAAACAUAAUUCAUCAUAUAAACAGAACCAAAGACAAAAACCACAGGAUUAUCUUAAUAGAUGCAGAAAAGGCCUUUGAUACAAUUCGACAUUCCUUCAUGUUAAAAACUCUCAAUAAACUAGGCAUUGAUGGAACACAUUUCAAAAUAAUAAGAGCUGCUUAUGACAAACCCAGAACCAAUAUCAUAUUGAAUAGGCAAAAGCUGAAAUCAUUCCCUUUGAAAACCAGCACAAGACAAGGAUGCCCUCUCUCACCGCUCCUAUUCAACAUAUUAUUGGAAGUUCUGGGCAAGAGAAAGAAAUAGAGUAUUCAAAUAGGAAGAGAGGAAGUCAUGUUGCAUCUGUUUGCAGGUGACAUGAUAUUAUAUUUAGAAAACCCCAUCAUCUCAGCCAGAAAACUUCUUGAAAUGAUAAGCAACUUCAGCAAAGUCUCAGGAUGCAAAAUCAACGUGCAAAAAUCACAAGCAUUCUCUUACACCAACAAUAGGCAAGCAGAAAGCCAAAUCACGAAUGAACUCCCAUUCACAAUCCCUACAAAGAGAAUAAAAUACCUAGGAAUAGAGCUAACAAGGAAUGUGAAGGACCUCUUCAAGAAGAACUACAAACCACUGCUCAAGGAAAUAAGAGAAGGCACAAACAAAUGGAAAAACAUUCCACCCUCAUGGACAGGAAGAAUCAAUAUCAUGAAAAUGGUUAUACUGGCCAAAGUAAUUUAUAGAUUCAAUGCAAUUCUCAUCAAACUACCACUGACAUUCUUCACAGAAUUAGACAAAAACUAUUUUAACUUUCAUGUGGAAUCAAAGAAGACCCGUAUAGCCAAGGCGAUCCUAAACAAAAAGAACAAAGCAGGAGGCAUCACACUACCUGACUUCAAACUAUACUACAAUGCUACAGUAGCCAAAACAGCAUGGUACUGGUACCAAAACAGACAUAUGGACCAAUGGAGCAGAACAGAGACCUCAGAAAGAACACCACACAUCUACAACCAUCUGAUCUUUGAUAAACCUGACAAAAACAAGCAAUGGGGAAAGGAUCUCCUAUUCAGAAAAUGGUGCUGGGAAAACUGGCUAGUCAUAUGCAGAAAACUGAAACUGGACCCGUUCCUUACACCUUGUACAAAAAUUAACUCAAGAUAGAUUAAAGACUUAAAUGUAAAACCCAAAACCAUAAAAACCCUACAAGAAAACCUAGGCAAUACCAUUCAGGAUGUAGGCAUGGGCAAAGACUUCAUGACACAAACACCAAAAACAAUUGCAACAAAAGCCAAAAUUGACAAAUGGAAUCUAAUUAAACUAAAGAGCUUCUGCACAGCAAAAGGAACUAGCAUCAGAGAGAACAGGCAACAUACAGAAUGGGAGAAAUUUUUUGCAAUCUACCCACCUGAUGAAGGUCUAAUAUCCAGAAUUUACAAGGAACUUAAACACAUUUACAGGAAAAAAAAACAACCCCAUCAAAAAGUGGACAAAGGAUAUGAGCAGACACUUCUCAAAAGAAGACAUUUACACAGACAACAAACAUAUAAAAAAUGCUCAACAGCACUGAUCAUCAGAGAAAUGCAAAUCAAAACCACAAAGAGACACCAUCUUACGCCAAUCAGAAUAGCGAUUAUUGAAAACUCAAGAAACAACAGAUGCUGGCGAGGCUGUGGAGAAAUAGGAACUCUUUUACACGGUUGGUGGGAAUGUAAAGUAUUUCAACCAUUGUGGAAGACAGUAUGGCGAUUCCUCAAGGAUCUAGAACCAGAAAUACCAUUUGACCCAGCAAUCCCAUUACUGAGUAUAUACCCAAAGGAAUAUAAAUCAUGCUACUAUAAAGAUAAAUGCACAUGUAUGUUUAUUACAGCACUGUUUACAAUAGCAAAGACAUGGAAGCAACCUAAAUGCCCAUCAAUAAUGAGACCGGAUAAAGAAAAUGUGGUACAUAUACAUCAUGGAAUACUAUGCAGCCAUAAAAAGGAAUGAGAUCAUGUCCUUUUCAGGGGCAUGGAUGAAGCUGGAAGCCAUCAUCCUCAGCAAACUAACACAGGAACAGAAAACCAAACACCGCACGUUCUCACUCAUAAGUGGGAGUUGAACAUUGAGAACAUGAACACAGAGAGGGGAACAACACACACCAGGGCCUAGUAGGGGGUAAAGGGUGAGGGGAGGGAAUUUAUAGGAUGGGUCAAUAGGUGCAGCAAGCCACCAUGGCACACAUAUACCUAUGUAACAAACCUGCACGU